RNAcentral lists this ribosomal RNA (480 nucleotides) under uncultured bacterium. Its description in RNAcentral is "partial 16S ribosomal RNA". It matches the Rfam family "Bacterial small subunit ribosomal RNA", at positions 28 to 523 of the family's 1533-position model. The record is from RNAcentral.
GACGAACGCUGGCGGCGUGCCUAACACAUGCAAGUCGAGCGAGUGAAUCUCCUUCGGGAGUGAAGCUAGCGGCGGACGGGUGAGUAACACGUGGGCAACCUGCCUCAUAGAGGGGAAUAGCCUUUCGAAAGGAAGAUUAAUACCGCAUAAGAUUGUAGCUUCGCAUGAAGUAGCAAUUAAAGGAGCAAUCCGCUAUGAGAUGGGCCCGCGGCGCAUUAGCUAGUUGGUGAGGUAACGGCUCACAAAGGCGACGAUGCGUAGCCGACUUGAGAGGGUGAUCGGCCACAUUGGGACGGAGACACGGCCCAGACUCCUACGGGAGGCAGCAGUGGGGAAUAGUGCACAAUGGGGGAAACCCUGAUGCAGCAACGCCGCGUGAGUGAUGACGGCCCUCGGGUUGUAAAGCUCUGUCUUCAGGGACGAUAAUGACGGUACCUGAGGAGGAAGCCACGGCUAACUACGUGCCAGCCGCCGCGGUAA